CUACGGGACGCUCCAGUGGGGAAUCUUGCACAAUGGACGGAAGUCUGAUGCAGCGAUUCCGCGUGGAGGAUGACGCAUUACGGUGUGUAAACUCCUUUUUUGGUGGAAGACGAAUGACGGUACACCAAGAAUAAGGGACGGCUAACUACGUGCCAGCAGCCGCGGUAAUACGUAGGUCCCAAGCGUUAUCCGGAUUUACUGGGCGUAAAGUGUCCGUAGCCCGAUAUACAAGUCAGUUUUCAAAUAUCCUGGCUCAACCAGGAAAAGGGAAUAGAUACUGUAUAUCUAGAGAAUAUUGGAGGUUAGUGGAAUUUCAGGUGGAGCGGUGAAAUGUGUUGAUAUCUGAAGGAACGCCGAAAGCGAAAGCAGCUAACUAUGAUAUUUCUGACGGUGAUGGACGAAAGCUUGAGUAGCAAACGGGAUUAGAUACCCCGGUAGUC
Molecule: ribosomal RNA, 440 nt
Filed under: uncultured bacterium
Lineage: Bacteria
Description: partial 16S ribosomal RNA
Rfam family: Bacterial small subunit ribosomal RNA
Source: RNAcentral